GCAAACUGCACGAGCUCGAGUGGAUGGAAAAGAGUUCUUCCGACAAGUUAGGAGUCGGCUAUCGUAUGAGCAGUUUGGUGGUUUUCUAGCAAAUGUUAAGGAACUGAACUCGCACAAGCAAACGAAAGAGGAAACUUUGCGGAAAGCAGCUGAAAUUUUUGGUGAAGAAAACAAAGACCUUUAUACCAUCUUUGAAGGACUGAUCUCUCGUAAUGCCUAAUAAAAUGUCCAAAGCCUGAAUAUUGCAUGUAUUUUUUUACUGUAAAUUGACUCAAU
RNAcentral lists this unclassified non-coding RNA (276 nucleotides) under Hevea brasiliensis (rubber tree). Lineage: Eukaryota; Viridiplantae; Streptophyta; Magnoliopsida; Malpighiales; Euphorbiaceae. The record is from RNAcentral.